AGAGUUUGAUCAUGGCUCAGAAUGAACGCUGGCGGCAUGCCUAACACAUGCAAGUCGAACGAAGCCUUCGGGCUUAGUGGCGCACGGGUGCGUAACGCGUGGGAAUCUGCCCUUGGGUUUGGAAUAACAGUUAGAAAUGACUGCUAAUACCAAAUGAUGUCGCAAGACCAAAGAUUUAUCGCCCAAGGAUGAGCCCGCGUAGGAUUAGCUAGUUGGUGAGGUAAAAGCUCACCAAGGCGACGAUCCUUAGCUGGUCUGAGAGGAUGAUCAGCCACACUGGGACUGAGACACGGCCCAGACUCCUACGGGAGGCAGCAGUGGGGAAUAUUGGACAAUGGGCGAAAGCCUGAUCCAGCAAUGCCGCGUGAGUGAUGAAGGCCUUAGGGUUGUAAAGCUCUUUUACCCGGGAUGAUAAUGACAGUACCGGGAGAAUAAGCUCCGGCUAACUCCGUGCCAGCAGCCGCGGUA
RNAcentral lists this ribosomal RNA (468 nucleotides) under uncultured Pseudomonadota bacterium. Its description in RNAcentral is "bacterial SSU rRNA". It matches the Rfam family "Bacterial small subunit ribosomal RNA", at positions 8 to 522 of the family's 1533-position model. Lineage: Bacteria; Pseudomonadati; Pseudomonadota. The record is from RNAcentral.